UCCUAAAACAUGCAAGUCGAGCGCCCUCUUCGGAGGGAGCGGCGGACGGGUUAGUAACGCGUGGGAACGUGCCCAGAUCUAAGGAAUAGCCACUGGAAACGGUGAGUAAUACCUUAUACGCCCUUCGGGGGAAAGAUUUAUCGGAUUUGGAUCGGCCCGCGUUAAAUUAAAUAGUUGGUGGGGUAACGGCCUAACCAGUCUACGAUCUAUAGCUGGUUUUAAAGGAUGAUUCACAACACUGGGAAUUGAAAAACGGCCCAGACUCCUACCGGAAGCAGCAGUGGGGAAUCUUGGACAAUGGGGCGCAAGCCUGAUCCAGCCAUGCCCCGUGAGUGAUGAAGGCCCUACGGUCGUAAAGCUCUUUCACCUGUGAAGAUAAUGACGGUAACAGGUAAAGAGACCCCGGCUAACUCCGUGCCCGCAGCCGCGGUAAUUCGGAGGACUCUUAGC
RNAcentral lists this ribosomal RNA (450 nucleotides) under uncultured bacterium. RNAcentral describes it as "bacterial SSU rRNA". It matches the Rfam family "Bacterial small subunit ribosomal RNA", at positions 46 to 536 of the family's 1533-position model. The record is from RNAcentral.